UACGUAGGGGGCAAGCGUUGUCCGGAUUUAUUGGGCGUAAAGAGCUCGUAGGUGGUUCGGUAAGUCGGAUGUGAAAUCUCCAGGCUCAACCUGGAGGGGUCAUUCGAUACUGCCGUGACUAGAGGUCGGUAGGGGAGUGUGGAAUUCCUGGUGGAGCGGUGAAAUGCGCAGAUAUCAGGGGGAACACCCGUAGCGAAGGCGGCACUCUGGGCCGAUACUGACACUGAGGAGCGAAAGCGUGGGGAGCGAACAGG
This 254-nucleotide ribosomal RNA is filed under the name uncultured bacterium. RNAcentral describes it as "partial 16S ribosomal RNA". It matches the Rfam family "Bacterial small subunit ribosomal RNA", at positions 524 to 776 of the family's 1533-position model. The record is from RNAcentral.